GACGAACGCUGGCGGCGUGCUUAACACAUGCAAGUCGAACGAUGAAGCUGGAGCUUGCUCCGGUGGAUUAGUGGCGAACGGGUGAGUAACACGAGAGCAAUCUGCCCUUGACUCUGGAAUAACUGCGGGAAACUGUAGCUAAUACCGGAUACGAGGCUCGAAGGCAUCUUCGGGUCUGGAAAGAAUUUCGGUCAAGGAUGAGCUCGCGGCCUAUCAGCUUGUUGGUGAGGUAAUGGCUCACCAAGGCGACGACGGGUAGCCGGCCUGAGAGGGUGACCGGCCACACUGGGACUGAGACACGGCCCAGACUCCUACGGGAGGCAGCAGUGGGGAAUAUUGCACAAUGGGCGAAAGCCUGAUGCAGCAACGCCGCGUGAGGGAUGAAGGCCUUCGGGUUGUAAACCUCUUUUAGCAGGGAAGAAGCGAAAGUGACGGUACCUGCAGAAAAAGCACCGGCUAACUACGUGCCAGCCGCCGCAGUAA
Molecule: ribosomal RNA, 483 nt
Filed under: uncultured bacterium
Lineage: Bacteria
Description: partial 16S ribosomal RNA
Rfam family: Bacterial small subunit ribosomal RNA
Source: RNAcentral